UUUAGUAGCAUUGGGUAGGCCUCAUCAUUUGGCCCGCGGGCUCGUGGGCUGAUGGGGGCUGGCCCGGCCCAUUAUGGACUUUGAGAUGGCUUGGCCCGCUUUGGGCCGGACUAAGCUUGGGCUUGGGUGUCUGAAGCCCGGCCCGGCCCAUAGGCUUUGCCCGAUUAAGCCCAAGAAAGCCUAGCCCGACCAGACCACAAAAGCCCCG
Molecule: long non-coding RNA, 208 nt
Filed under: Prunus persica (peach)
Lineage: Eukaryota; Viridiplantae; Streptophyta; Magnoliopsida; Rosales; Rosaceae
Description: long non-coding RNA (PPER_LNC003636)
Source: RNAcentral